UCUACGGGAGGCAGCAGUGAGGAAUAUUGGUCAAUGGACGAAAGUCUGAACCAGCCAUGCCGCGUGCAGGAAGACGGCUCUAUGAGUUGUAAACUGCUUUUGUACAAGGGUAAACCUGAAUACGUGUAUUCAGCUGAAAGUACUGUACGAAUAAGGAUCGGCUAACUCCGUGCCAGCAGCCGCGGUAAUACGGAGGAUCCAAGCGUUAUCCGGAUUUAUUGGGUUUAAAGGGUGCGUAGGCGGGACCUUAAGUCAGUGGUAAAAUUGCGGUGCUCAACGCCGUAGAGCCGUUGAAACUGGGGUUCUUGAGUGAGCGAGAAGUAUGCGGAAUGCGUGGUGUAGCGGUGAAAUGCAUAGAUAUCACGCAGAACCCCGAUUGCGAAGGCAGCAUACCGGCGCUCAACUGACGCUGAGGCACGAAAGUGCGGGUAUCGAACAGGAUUAGAUACCCCAGUAGUC
Molecule: ribosomal RNA, 459 nt
Filed under: uncultured bacterium
Lineage: Bacteria
Description: partial 16S ribosomal RNA
Rfam family: Bacterial small subunit ribosomal RNA
Source: RNAcentral